RNAcentral lists this long non-coding RNA (412 nucleotides) under Vitis vinifera (wine grape). RNAcentral describes it as "long non-coding RNA (VVIN_LNC003984)". Lineage: Eukaryota; Viridiplantae; Streptophyta; Magnoliopsida; Vitales; Vitaceae. The record is from RNAcentral.
UGGAAACGAACCGGAAGGUGAGCUCCAACGCUUGCAAAGCCGGCCUGAUAAGAGACUCAUUCUUCCAAUUCGGAAACUCUCUCGAAUCCCAUAGCUUCUUAAGCUCCGACAGCCGGAGGUAGUACUCGUACGCUGAACAUUCAGGCGAAGGAGCGGACGAUAAAUCACCGGCACGAAACGCAGAGGGGAUCGAAACCUGAAGCUUAUUUGAAAAUUUGGGCGACUUUUUGGGCAUAUCAGGUGAGACCAUUUUCGCUGUGCAAUCUAAAUCAACCAUGUUUAGGAAUAGAAGUGAAUGAAAACCGUCGACAACUUGUAUUAUCUGGUUUGCUCUAAUUGAGGAGGCGAAGAGAUGGAGGUAUUUAUAGGGGCAAAAGAGGGUCGAUGAGAAAAGCGUGUGAAAACUGGAAAG